UUUUAUGGAGAGUUUGAUCCUGGCUCAGGAUGAACGCUGGCGGCGUGCCUAAUACAUGCAAGUCGAGCGAACGGACGAGAAGCUUGCUUCUCUGAUGUUAGCGGCGGACGGGUGAGUAACACGUGGAUAACCUACCUAUAAGACUGGGAUAACUUCGGGAAACCGGAGCUAAUACCGGAUAAUAUUUUGAACCGCAUGGUUCAAAAGUGAAAGACGGUCUUGCUGUCACUUAUAGAUGGAUCCGCGCUGCAUUAGCUAGUUGGUAAGGUAACGGCUUACCAAGGCAACGAUGCAUAGCCGACCUGAGAGGGUGAUCGGCCACACUGGAACUGAGACACGGUCCAGACUCCUACGGGAGGCAGCAGUAGGGAAUCUUCCGCAAUGGGCGAAAGCCUG
This 396-nucleotide ribosomal RNA is filed under the name Staphylococcus aureus. RNAcentral describes it as "bacterial SSU rRNA". It matches the Rfam family "Bacterial small subunit ribosomal RNA", at positions 1 to 385 of the family's 1533-position model. The record is from RNAcentral. Lineage: Bacteria; Bacillati; Bacillota; Bacilli; Caryophanales; Staphylococcaceae. RNAcentral also lists the same sequence under 1 other name.